This 691-nucleotide ribosomal RNA is filed under the name uncultured bacterium. RNAcentral's name for it is "bacterial SSU rRNA". It matches the Rfam family "Bacterial small subunit ribosomal RNA", at positions 32 to 715 of the family's 1533-position model. The record is from RNAcentral.
AACGCUAGCUACAGGCUUAACACAUGCAAGUCGAGGGGCAGCAUUGGAGUAGCAAUACUUUAGAUGGCGACCGGCGCACGGGUGAGUAACACGUAUCCAACCUGCCGCUUACUCGGGGAUAGCCUUUCGAAAGAAAGAUUAAUACCCGAUGGUAUAAAGAGUUCGCAUGUUCUCUUUAUUAAAGAAUUUCGGUAAGCGAUGAGGAUGCGUUCCAUUAGAUUGUUGGCGGGGUAACGGCCCACCAAGUCUACGAUGGAUAGGGGUUCUGAGAGGAAGGUCCCCCACAUUGGAACUGAGACACGGUCCAAACUCCUACGGGAGGCAGCAGUGAGGAAUAUUGGUCAAUGGGCGAGAGCCUGAACCAGCCAAGUAGCGUGAAGGAUGACUGCCCUAUGGGUUGUAAACUUCUUUUAUAAGGGAAUAAAGUGAGGGACGUGUCCCUUUUUGUAUGUACCUUAUGAAUAAGGAUCGGCUAAUUCCGUGCCAGCAGCCGCGGUAAUACGGAAGGUCCGGGCGUUAUCCGGAUUUAUUGGGUUUAAAGGGAGCGUAGGCCGGAGAUUAAGCGUGUUGUGAAAUGUAGGCGCUCAACGUCUGCACUGCAGCGCGAACUGGUUUCCUUGAGUACGCACAAAGUGGGCGGAAUUCGUGGUGUAGCGGUGAAAUGCUUAGAUAUCACGAAGAACUCCGAUUG